GUCGAGCGGACAGAUGGGAGCUUGCUCCCUGAUGUUAGCGGCGGACGGGUGAGUAACACGUGGGUAACCUGCCUGUAAGACUGGGAUAACUCCGGGAAACCGGGGCUAAUACCGGAUGGUUGUUUGAACCGCAUGGUUCAAACAUAAAAGGUGGCUUCGGCUACCACUUACAGAUGGACCCGCGGCGCAUUAGCUAGUUGGUGAGGUAACGGCUCACCAAGGCAACGAUGCGUAGCCGACCUGAGAGGGUGAUCGGCCACACUGGGACUGAGACACGGCCCAGACUCCUACGGGAGGCAGCAGUAGGGAAUCUUCCGCAAUGGACGAAAGUCUGACGGAGCAACGCCGCGUGAGUGAUGAAGGUUUUCGGAUCGUAAAGCUCUGUUGUUAGGGAAGAACAAGUACCGUUCGAAUAGGGCGGUACCUUGACGGUACCUAACCAGAAAGCCACGGCUAACUACGUGCCAGCAGCCGCGGUAAUACGUAGGUGGCAAGCGUUGUCCGGAAUUAUUGGGCGUAAAGGGCUCGCAGGCGGUUUCUUAAGUCUGAUGUGAAAGCCCCCGGCUCAACCGGGGAGGGUCAUUGGAAACUGGGGAACUUGAGUGCAGAAGAGGAGAGUGGAAUUCCACGUGUAGCGGUGAAAUGCGUAGAGAUGUGGAGGAACACCAGUGGCGAAGGCGACUCUCUGGUCUGUAACUGACGCUGAGGAGCGAAAGCGUGGGGAGCGAACAGGAUUAGA
This 739-nucleotide ribosomal RNA is filed under the name Bacillus spizizenii ATCC 6633 = JCM 2499. RNAcentral describes it as "bacterial SSU rRNA". It matches the Rfam family "Bacterial small subunit ribosomal RNA", at positions 61 to 782 of the family's 1533-position model. The record is from RNAcentral. Lineage: Bacteria; Bacillati; Bacillota; Bacilli; Caryophanales; Bacillaceae.